AGGGUCUGGCUCGCCGGAGUGCAUCUGGCUGGUGGUGUCCACCUCAUAUGAGUCAGGGACAAAGCAACCCCUUCUUCAUCCCAGCUUGGCUUUUGGACAGCGCCCUUGCCUGGUUCAUGCCCUGGACACAUGG
This 133-nucleotide small nucleolar RNA is filed under the name Tupaia belangeri (northern tree shrew). RNAcentral describes it as "Small nucleolar RNA SNORA48 (ENSTBEG00000019294.1)". It matches the Rfam family "Small nucleolar RNA SNORA48". Rfam says of the family: The snoRNA ACA 48 has been identified to guide pseudouridylation of the residue U3797 in the 28S rRNA subunit. Its host gene EIF4A1 (eukaryotic translation initiation factor 4A1) is shared with U67 and snoRNA mgU6-77 The record is from RNAcentral. Lineage: Eukaryota; Metazoa; Chordata; Mammalia; Scandentia; Tupaiidae.